UUGGAGGGCAAGUCUGGUGCCAGCAGCCGCGGUAAUUCCAGCUCCAAUAGCGUAUAUUAAAGUUGUUGCAGUUAAAAAGCUCGUAGUUGAAUUUCGGGAUCAGAUUGUCGGUCGUGCCUCGGUACGCACUGGCAUUAUUGGUUCCUACCUUCUGAAGAACCGCGAUGUCAUUAAUUUGGUGUCGUGGGGAAUCAGGACUGUUACUUUGAAAAAAUUAGAGUGUUUAAAGCAGGCGCACGCUUGAAUACAUUAGCAUGGAAUAAUGAAAUAGGACGUUUGAUUCUAUUUUGUUGGUUUCUAGGAUCGACGUAAUGAUUAAUAGGGAUAGUUGGGGGCAUUAGUAUUCAAUUGUCAGAGGUGAAAUUCUUGGAUUUAUUGAAGACUAACUACUGCGAGAGCAUUUGCCAAGGAUGUUUUCAUUAAUCAAGAACGAAAGUUAGGGGAUCGAAGACGAUCAGAUACCGUCGUAGUCUUAACCAUAAACUAUGCCGACUAGGGAUCGGAUGAUGUUAAUUUUUUAAUGACUCAUUCGGCGCCUUACGGGAAAC
This 548-nucleotide ribosomal RNA is filed under the name uncultured Glomeromycotina. Its description in RNAcentral is "SSU rRNA". It matches the Rfam family "Eukaryotic small subunit ribosomal RNA", at positions 548 to 1098 of the family's 1831-position model. The record is from RNAcentral. Lineage: Eukaryota; Fungi; Glomeromycota.